Molecule: long non-coding RNA, 1139 nt
Organism: Megalobrama amblycephala (Wuchang bream)
Lineage: Eukaryota; Metazoa; Chordata; Actinopteri; Cypriniformes; Xenocyprididae
Exons: 3
Source: RefSeq, a predicted model, not a curated record
CUCUUACUUGCUGAUGUAAAAUCUGCCCUCACACACGCACACACACACACAGCACAGGCUAAGACAUCUGCCAGCACACUAAAAAUGAACAAGUCAUUUCAGCGUGUCGAGCAAAUUUCACACACAUCCAAGGCCUCUCUCUGAUCUUCUUAAAUCACUGCUUGCCUACCGCUUCCUUAAUAAACCCCCUUCUUUCAUAUCCGCAGUGUUUCUUGCUCCCCGUGACCCUUUCUGGAAGCUUCUUCUCUGCUCUGAAGUGCCGAGCAUCAUUGAAAAGGAAACGUGUCUAAUUAAACAUGACCUUAUUUACAUACCAUAACAGAAAAAGGAAGGAUUUUCACUCUUGGAAGAGGACCUCUGCAGGCACAAAAGUGUGUUUUGUUCUCUUCUUUGUGAAGGCUUUCCUCUCAUCUGCAGACAGAUAGAGGGAGACAGAAGAUGGUGGUUAUCACUGGAGUCAUGGGCCCUGAUCAGAGGCAGGGUGCUGGGUCUUAUCUUAAUGAAGCUGUGCUUAUCAUGAGCUCGAGGUCACUGCUAUCUGUCUGACCUCUGACUGCACCCUCUUUCUGUCAAUUAACCCACUCACAAAAGUCUGUCUACCCUUUCACACUUACAUACAUACAGUUUCAAUAAAAAGUUACUGUUCAGCUAUUUUGAUUGAAAAAUGAAAAGGUUGAGACAUCUAUUUUACAUGUGGUUUGCAAAGGAACUCUAUUGCCCUCUGAACUCAAAGGCAGCGGGAGGCCCCAAUUUUGCCCCUUAAAUUUUCCUUUUCUUCUUUUGCUUUCAAACACAUUUCUUUCCUGUAGAAAUUCUUUUUUUUCUUUCUUUUUUUUGCAGUCUUCUUUUUGAACUUUUUUCUCUUUUCUUUCUUGCAAGCUUUCUUUCUUUCAUGCUUCCAUUAUGUUAUUAUAUAUGUUACAGUUUUAUUUUGGGUACAGCAAAGUUGAUGAUCUAAAAAAAACUUGGAAAAACAAGUUAUGGGUGGGGUGGAUAAAAUGUUCAGGUUUAGAUUGAGAACUGGGUCGCAAUUUAGAUUAGGGCCUACUUCUCACUAUUAGCUAACUAUUAACUACGACUUUUGCCUCAAUAAACUCCUAAUUACUGCUUAUUAAUAGUUAGGUAGUUGUUACAUUUAG